This 488-nucleotide ribosomal RNA is filed under the name uncultured bacterium. Its description in RNAcentral is "partial 16S ribosomal RNA". It matches the Rfam family "Bacterial small subunit ribosomal RNA", at positions 28 to 507 of the family's 1533-position model. The record is from RNAcentral.
GACGAACGCUGGCGGCGUGCUUAACACAUGCAAGUCGAACGCGCCUGUCCUCUGGGUUUCUGGGGGGUGGGUGAGUGGCGAACGGGUGAGUAACACGUGAGUAACCUGCCCCCUUCUUCGGGAUAACGGUCUGAAAGGGCUGCUAAUACCGGGUAUUCACUGGUCUCCGCAUGGGGUCUGGUGGAAAGGUUUUUUUCUGGUGGGGGAUGGGCUCGCGGCCUAUCAGCUUGUUGGUGGGGUGAUGGCCCACCAAGGCUUUGACGGGUAGCCGGCCUGAGAGGGUGACCGGUCACAUUGGGACUGAGAUACGGCCCAGACUCCUACGGGAGGCAGCAGUGGGGAAUAUUGCACAAUGGGCGCAAGCCUGAUGCAGCGACGACGCGUGAGGGAUGGAGGCCUUCGGGUUGUGAACCUCUUUCGCCCGUGGUCAAGCCGCGACGUGGGUCGUGGUGAGGGUAGUGGGUAAAGAAGCGCCGGCUAACUACGUG